RNAcentral lists this ribosomal RNA (1096 nucleotides) under Enterococcus faecalis. RNAcentral's name for it is "partial 23S ribosomal RNA". It matches the Rfam family "Bacterial large subunit ribosomal RNA", at positions 341 to 1440 of the family's 2925-position model. Lineage: Bacteria; Bacillati; Bacillota; Bacilli; Lactobacillales; Enterococcaceae. The record is from RNAcentral.
UUUGGAAAAUUCCGCUAAAGAGGGUGAAAGCCCCGUAGACGAAAUGCUAGCAACACCUAGGAGGAUCCUGAGUACGGCGGAACACGAGAAAUUCCGUCGGAAUCCGCGGGGACCAUCCCGCAAGGCUAAAUACUCCCUAGUGACCGAUAGUGAACCAGUACCGUGAGGGAAAGGUGAAAAGCACCCCGGAAGGGGAGUGAAAUAGAUCCUGAAACCGUGUGCCUACAACAAGUCAAAGCUCGUUAAUGAGUGAUGGCGUGCCUUUUGUAGAAUGAACCGGCGAGUUACGAUUGCAUGCGAGGUUAAGUCGAAGAGACGGAGCCGCAGCGAAAGCGAGUCUGAAUAGGGCGAAUGAGUAUGUAGUCGUAGACCCGAAACCAUGUGAUCUACCCAUGUCCAGGUUGAAGGUGCGGUAAAACGCACUGGAGGACCGAACCCACGUACGUUGAAAAGUGCGGGGAUGAGGUGUGGGUAGCGGAGAAAUUCCAAACGAACUUGGAGAUAGCUGGUUCUCUCCGAAAUAGCUUUAGGGCUAGCCUCGGAAUUGAGAAUGAUGGAGGUAGAGCACUGUUUGGACUAGGGGCCCAUCUCGGGUUACCGAAUUCAGAUAAACUCCGAAUGCCAUUCAUUUAUAUCCGGGAGUCAGACUGCGAGUGAUAAGAUCCGUAGUCGAAAGGGAAACAGCCCAGACCACCAGCUAAGGUCCCAAAAUAUAUGUUAAGUGGAAAAGGAUGUGGGGUUGCACAGACAACUAGGAUGUUGGCUUAGAAGCAGCCACCAUUUAAAGAGUGCGUAAUAGCUCACUAGUCGAGUGACCCUGCGCCGAAAAUGUACCGGGGCUAAACAUAUUACCGAAGCUGUGGACUACACCAUUAGGUGUAGUGGUAGGAGAGCGUUCUAAGGGCGUUGAAGGUCGAUCGUGAGGACGGCUGGAGCGCUUAGAAGUGAGAAUGCCGGUAUGAGUAGCGAAAGACAGGUGAGAAUCCUGUCCACCGUAUGACUAAGGUUUCCUGGGGAAGGCUCGUCCGCCCAGGGUUAGUCGGGACCUAAGCCGAGGCCGAUAGGCGUAGGCGAUGGACAACAGGUUGAUAUUCCU